RNAcentral lists this ribosomal RNA (292 nucleotides) under uncultured bacterium. Its description in RNAcentral is "partial 16S ribosomal RNA". It matches the Rfam family "Bacterial small subunit ribosomal RNA", at positions 505 to 796 of the family's 1533-position model. The record is from RNAcentral.
GUUUCAGCCGCCGCGGUAAGACAGAGGCCUCGAGCGUUAGGCGGAAUCACUGGGCUUAAAGCGCGUGUAGGCGGAUCGUUAAGUGCCUUGUGAAAUCCCGCGGCUCAACCGCGGAACCGCUGGGCAUACUGGCGGUCUUGGGCCACUCAGGGGUCACUGGAACAAGCGGUGGAGCGGUGAAAUGCGUAGAUAUCGCUUGGAACGCCGAAGGUGAAGACAGGUGACUGGGGGUGUGCCGACGCUGAGACGCGAAAGCCAGGGGAGCAAACGGGAUUAGAAACCCCCGUAGUCC